Megalopta genalis is the source of this 754-nucleotide non-coding RNA. Lineage: Eukaryota; Metazoa; Arthropoda; Insecta; Hymenoptera; Halictidae. The record is from RefSeq and is a predicted model, not a curated record.
UUCAUUCAUCAUCAGAUGAGCGCGAGCAUUUAAAUCGCGAUACUUCAUUGAUCCGGAUGCACGUGACACGGCCACAUGGCCAGGUACUUGUGCCUUCAUUUAUAGACACGAGCAAACCCACAGUCUUAAACAAAUACGGCAGCGGGAACGGUAUGGAUCAAAUUAUCGUUUGCGUCACGGCAAUGUACCGUGCACGUGCGACGCGUUAUCUGUUUCCACGCACAGGGUGUCCGAGAAUUCAUCGCGCAAAUGUGUAAAGAUUCAACAAUUCUCUCACAGAAAAUAUAAGUAAAACAUGAAGAAUUAAAUUUUUCCAUACGAGGCUCUGUUUUUGAGGAAAAUUACUUUAAAAUGUGACGAAGCACGUGCACUAUUUGAUCGUCUGGUCAUGGCUUACUGCAUCUACUUGUCUAUCUAGACUCGAUACUGUGUUAGGUGAUCCGGCUUGGUUUGGAAAUGUAUACCAGCAGAAUGUACGAAUACGAGAAUCGUUGCAAUGAAUACGUCUUGCGUGCACAUGCAUUCGAUAGAUUCAGAUCGUAAAUUGCAUCGUGUCUGACAGAAAAACUGAAGAAAAGGGUUACAGAUACAUAGUGAGGAUAGGAAACAAACCUUAAAUUUUAGCGGGACAUUGUUGAAAAUGGCAACUAAAUAUACCUGAAUGUCGAUUUAUGAAACUAGCCUUAGAUGUUCCUAUCUGUAAUUUACGUAGACGUGCUAACCACAUUUAAUAAAUUACACACGGGAUCGAACA